UGCGCAGGCGGCGUGUCGUGUUCGAUGUGAAAGCCCUCGGCUUACCCGGGGAAUUGCAUUGAAAACUGGCAUGCUCGAGUACAGGAGGGGAAACUGGAAUUCCUGGUGUAGCGGUGAAAUGCGUAGAUAUCAGGAGGAACGCCGGUGGCGAAAGCGAGUUUCUGGCCUGUUACUGACGCUGAGGCACGAAAGCCAGGGGAGCGAACG
RNAcentral lists this ribosomal RNA (207 nucleotides) under uncultured bacterium. RNAcentral's name for it is "partial 16S ribosomal RNA". It matches the Rfam family "Bacterial small subunit ribosomal RNA", at positions 568 to 774 of the family's 1533-position model. The record is from RNAcentral.